Molecule: long non-coding RNA, 391 nt
Organism: Lepidothrix coronata (blue-crowned manakin)
Lineage: Eukaryota; Metazoa; Chordata; Aves; Passeriformes; Pipridae
Exons: 3
Source: RefSeq, a predicted model, not a curated record
GCAGUGACUGCAGGACACAACUAGCUGCUCUUUUGCAGGCGGUGUACUUGUGGUGAAUCUGGGUGCAUACUUGUUUUUUUGUUUUACAGGCAGUGCACCAACUUCUAACGUGCAGUCCAACGUGACGGGGACCCUGCCUGUAAGAGGUCACGGUCAAGGGGUGUCAGAUAGAAGCUGCCAUGGGAGCAGCAAACUCUUGGGCAGUAUCUCAGUACUCACAUUUGCCUCUGGGUUUUUUUUGCAGGAGAUGUACACAGCCUGACAGGGCCAAAGCCAACUCACAGUGAGGUGCCAUCCUUGUAACCUUUGGGAGCAGAUGAACAUUGGAGGUAUCCCAGAAGAUGAGACAUUGUCCAAGUCUGGUCAGAGCCAGUGACACGAGGACCUGCCU